AUGGUAUAUUCCCGGUUCUUUGUUGUUGCUCUUCUAAUGUCGUCCUUAAACCCGAUGCAUUUUGUGUUUGACCAGUCAUUUCUACGUAUAUCACUGUCGUAUUUUCAUGUCCUUGGUAAAAUUUUGGCAACGACCCUAUUCAAAAAAAUCACAAAA
RNAcentral lists this small RNA (156 nucleotides) under Arabidopsis thaliana (thale cress). Its description in RNAcentral is "ATSL065470". The record is from RNAcentral. Lineage: Eukaryota; Viridiplantae; Streptophyta; Magnoliopsida; Brassicales; Brassicaceae.